Molecule: ribosomal RNA, 1358 nt
Filed under: uncultured bacterium
Lineage: Bacteria
Description: bacterial SSU rRNA
Rfam family: Bacterial small subunit ribosomal RNA
Source: RNAcentral
GAUGAACGCUGGCGGCGUGCUUAACACAUGCAAGUCGAACGAAGCACUUUAACCUGAUUCUUCGGAUGAAGGUUUUUGUGACUGAGUGGCGGACGGGUGAGUAACGCGUGGGUAACCUGCCUCAUACAGGGGGAUAACAGUUAGAAAUGACUGCUAAUACCGCAUAAGACCACGGAGCCGCAUGGCUCAGUGGGAAAAACUCCGGUGGUAUGAGAUGGACCCGCGUCUGAUUAGGUAGUUGGUGGGGUAACGGCCUACCAAGCCAACGAUCAGUAGCCGACCUGAGAGGGUGACCGGCCACAUUGGGACUGAGACACGGCCCAAACUCCUACGGGAGGCAGCAGUGGGGAAUAUUGCACAAUGGGGGAAACCCUGAUGCAGCGACGCCGCGUGAGCGAAGAAGUAUUUCGGUAUGUAAAGCUCUAUCAGCAGGGAAGAAAAUGACGGUACCUGACUAAGAAGCACCGGCUAAAUACGUGCCAGCAGCCGCGGUAAUACGUAUGGUGCAAGCGUUAUCCGGAUUUACUGGGUGUAAAGGGAGCGUAGACGGCUGUGUAAGUCUGAAGUGAAAGCCCGGGGCUCAACCCCGGGACUGCUUUGGAAACUAUGCAGCUAGAGUGUCGGAGAGGUAAGUGGAAUUCCCAGUGUAGCGGUGAAAUGCGUAGAUAUUGGGAGAAACACCAGUGGCGCAGGCGGCUUACUGGACGAUGACUGACGUUGAGGCUCGAAAGCGUGGGGAGCAAACAGGAUUAGAUACCCUGGUAGUCCACGCCGUAAACGAUGAUUACUAGGUGUCGGGGAGCAAAGCUCUUCGGUGCCGCAGCAAACGCAAUAAGUAGUCCACCUGGGGAGUACGUUCGCAAGAAUGAAACUCAAAGGAAUUGACGGGGACCCGCACAAGCGGUGGAGCAUGUGGUUUAAUUCGAAGCAACGCGAAGAACCUUACCUGCUCUUGACAUCCCGGUGACCGGCAUGUAAUGAUGCCUUUUCUUCGGAACACCGGUGACAGGUGGUGCAUGGUUGUCGUCAGCUCGUGUCGUGAGACGUUGGGUUAAGUCCCGCAACGAGCGCAACCCUUAUCUUCAGUAGCCAGCAAUUCGGAUGGGCACUCUGGAGAGACUGCCAGGGAUAACCUAGAGGAAGGUGGGGAGGACGUCAAAUCAUCAUGCCCCUUAUGAGCAGGGCUACACACGUGCUACAAUGGCGUAAACAAAGGGAAGCGAGCCUGCGAGGGUAAGCAAAUCUCAAAAAUAACGUCUCAGUUCGGAUUGUAGUCUGCAACUCGACUACAUGAAGCUGGAAUCGCUAGUAAUCGCGAAUCAGCAUGUCGCGGUGAAUACGUUCCCGGGUCUUGCACU